This 263-nucleotide signal recognition particle RNA is filed under the name Bacillota bacterium. RNAcentral's name for it is "signal recognition particle sRNA large type". It matches the Rfam family "Bacterial large signal recognition particle RNA". Rfam says of the family: The signal recognition particle (SRP) is a universally conserved ribonucleoprotein involved in the co-translational targeting of proteins to membranes. Archaeal SRP consists of a 7S RNA and homologues of the eukaryotic SRP19 and SRP54 proteins. In most bacteria, the SRP consists of a 4.5S RNA and the Ffh protein (a homologue of the eukaryotic SRP54 protein). The record is from RNAcentral. Lineage: Bacteria; Bacillati; Bacillota.
CCGCGCUAGGCGGGGAGUUAGCGGUGCCCUGUACUCGCAAUCCGCUACAGCGAGGCGUAAUCCCUGCCCCAGGCCCUCAUUUUUGAGGCUGCCCGGCGCAAGCGGCGUCGAUGUCCGGGUCCUGCGCAAUGAGGACCUGUGAACCCCGUCAGGAUCGGAAGAUAGCAGCGGUAAACAGGAAACCUCAUGUGCCGCGGGGAAGCCUGGACGGAGCCGGCUACGUCGGUACCGCUCGGAAGUGAGUUUCGAAGGCAGGUGCGCGG